RNA transcript from Cornus florida, 4596 nucleotides. It is a transcript of the gene named protein MIS12 homolog, with no coding region annotated. The transcript has 11 exons. NCBI's taxonomy places the organism in Eukaryota, Viridiplantae, Streptophyta, Magnoliopsida, Cornales, Cornaceae. The record is from RefSeq and is a predicted model, not a curated record.
CUACCCUGCCCUGACCCAAGGCAGUCGCCUAAGCCACCAGAAAAAGGGAAAAAAAAAAAAAAAAAAAAAAAAAAAAAUUCGGGCAAUUCAUUUCAGCCUCCCUAAUCGCCUCCAUCUCUAUUAUCGUUCUCAACUUUGAACUUGCCCUCUCUCUGUCUCUGCAACUGCAAACUACAAAAUCUAUAAGAAUCAGAAUUUCAAAAUCCAUAUACUUCAGUUUAUCUAUCUGUCUGUAAGAAUCAAAAUUUCAAAACCUAUUACCUAUAUCAAAACCCAUAACGGCAUAUCAUUUCAGAUUGUUCAAAUAACCAAAACCCAUAUCCUUUAGUUUCCAUCUUCUGCUGUUCCAGUUCGGUUCACCGUUCGCAAGCUUCAGCUGCUGGCCCGCUGUCUCUCAACUCUCGAGCUUGCCCCCCUCUCUCUCUGCAACUGCUAACUUGAUUUGAAAGACUAAUUGUUAAAUUUGGGUUGAACUUGAGUCUUGAACAAGCUGAAGGCCCUUAUCGUGGAUUAUAAUUUUUAUAAUUACAGCAUCCUACGGUCCUACCAUCUUUUAGAUUGCUUCCAUCACUUCAGAUUGACUUUUGUGCGUUGAGCAACUUGGAGGAGCUUGAUUUUAGUGUUGGUGUGAAGGGGCUGAUUACAGUAAAAUGUAUUAUAGUGUCAUAUUCAUUGCAUUGCAUUUUGAGUGUGAAGAUGGAAGGAAGUGAAAGCGAGGCGAUUUUCAAUUCUCUGAACCUAAACCCCCAGCUUUUCAUCAAUGAGGUCCUUAAUUUAGUUGAUGACUUGGUCGAUGGGGCUUUCGACUUCUAUCAUCAAGAGGCAUCGACACUAUUGAAAGUCGAGGGCACAGAUAGAUCCGAGGAUUUAAGCAAGGGUGUGAAUUUCAUUCAAAACAUGAUUCAGUCUGUUCUGGAUAAGCGAUUGGAGAUGUGGGAGAAGUAUUUUCUUCAACAUUGCUUUAGCGUUCCACAAGGAUUUUCCCUACCCAAAACCAAUGAAUCACCUGGUGGCAGCUCAACAGAUCGUACUGUUCUCAGUGACCCAGAGCCGGAUGUGCAGUUAGAUUCCUUGAGAGAUAAACUUGAUUUGGUUGGAAAGGAGACUGCUGAGCUGACCAGAGAGCUCCAAUCGUUGGAAAGACAGUCUGCUAUAAGCAAUCAAUAUGCUGGGCCUGUUAAUGAAGCACUACAGUUAUGUGAGCGACAGUCUGUUCAUGACAUGUUCCAAGAGUUGACAAGAACUGCAUCAGAGCUUCGUACGAAAAUGGACAAGUUGAAGACCAAAAGAUUGGAGGAGACUCAAUGCCUUAGAACAGAGAGGAUGCACGUACGAAACGGCGAUUUGUUUAGGAAGAAUCGUGGCAAAGGCCUCUACAAUGCAAUGUCGGAAGAACUUCAAGAAUUCGUAGCCAAUAUAAAGAAUGUGUGAACCUUAACUAUUGUUCAUCAGCCUUUCUGUACAGAAGUUCUGUGUUGUGUUUUGUGGCCAAGUUGAACCAACAAGCUACUUGAGACUUGAAUGAAGGAUUUUUGUGAAUGGAAAUGGAGAUGUUGGCAUCAGCCCAUUGCCUUUGACAAAAUUAGCGUGGUUCGGAUCAAGCCUCUCGAAGCAUGUCAGUCUUUAAACACAGGUGAGACUUGUGCCUUUGCAGAAUUUGUGUGGAGUUUUUCUAAUCGACUCAUUCGAUUCAUAAUUUCAAAUGCAGCUGAGAUUUUAGUGGGGGAGUAGAACAACACAUAAUGGGACAGUAUGGGGUACUAGAAAGUUGAAACCCUUGUUGUGCUUUUAAUAUGCUUCGCAGAGCGCAGAGAUAAUAGGAAUGUAUGUUAAACACCUUUGCUAGAUCGUUGUGAUAGGAUCUCGUAUAUUUUAGAACCACCAGUGGUUUCCAUCUAUAAAGCAUAGACAGUUCUCCUAAUAGUGUCAUUGCGUUGUCGGACACGAUCUAGACACAUGUAAGGCAUGGUUAGAAGAAGUGUCAUGAAAUUUGAAUUUUGAUUUUCUAAUCUCUGGUUGGACAUGUCUGGGACACUUUUAGAACACUUUCAAGAAAUAGCCCUUUGUGAAAGAACUCCUAGCCUUCUUCCAAGGAUUUGUCUGAAGCACUAAUGCUGGUAUAGGUGCCCUGAAUAAUUCAAAAGCCUAAUCUACUGAUCACUAAUCGAAAUCAAAAUUGAAAUAAAAAUUUCAAUGUACUCACGGGUGUUACAGUUGCAUCCUGUGAUGGUAAUGAAUACGCGAGUGUACAUACAGGUAAAUUCGUAAGCAUGUAUUAAUUUUGUAAUUAUUUUUCUUAGAAUACUGAGAUUCCAAUGCAAUUUUAAAAUAUAUUACAAAUUAAUAAUAUAAAAUUUUUGAAAAAAACAGAGAAACAUCUAGAUCUAAAUUUAAAAUUAAUGAUUUCAUUCAUGAUUAGUGAAUAAAAUGAACAAAAGUUAUUUAUUACUAUUUUUGAUGUAUUAUUAUUAUAUUCGCGUUUUAUUUUUGUGAGAUUUUCUGUAUCGUGUCAUACCAUUAGAAAUGGAAACGGGGCGGGUUUGGGAUAGGUUUGACUAAAUCUUAUUCCGCUCCGUUGAAAAAUUAUCCAUACCAUCCAUGCUCUUAUUUCGAGACAAAUUUUUUAACCGUUAUACCAUUUGUCCUGGUGGGGUAGACAAACUACCGACUCCACCCAGCACACUUUGUUUAAUGGCGGGGUAGAUUAUACCGAGAGUAAAAGAAUAGAGAGUUUUGAAUUUCAAAAAGUCAGUUAAUGAUAUAAAAAUAAAAAUAAAUAAAUAAAUAAAAUUAUGAAUUUUAAAUAAUAAGCGAGGCCCAAAUUUGUCGUCUAUCCAUUUGCAUCCUAAAAAAUAGAAACCUAUGACUAGAAAAAAGAAAAAGAUAAAAAAAGAAAAAAAAAAAACUAUAUGUAUAUGUUAUGAUACAUAGAGCUGCAACUAUGACAAUAAAAUGAGAUAUAAAGAGGGGAAAGAGACCGGAGUAGAGAUAUAAACACGGGGGAGAGAUAUGAGUAAAUAUAGGGUGAGUCAUGCAUAUCAUGUCAUUAGUAUACUUGAUUAAUAAAAAUUUAACAAAUCAGUUUAUGAAUAGCAGCUUUGAACACUUUUUGUUAAGUAAAUACUAAUGACAUGGCAUAUACGGCGCACCCAAUAUCUUAUCAAAAGAAAGAGUAUCAAACUACAGUGGGGAGUGAGGAUGAGUUGGAUGACUUUGCGAGAUCUCUAUUCUUUGUCGGCCUCGAUCACCAGUGAAGAAUCGAAUGACAUCGCAAGCUCACACUUUCAGAUCUGGAGUAAAGGGACGUCACAGCUUCAGUUUCAGUUUUUCAAACCACAAAUCAUAUUCCCUCUAAAUAAUUGCAUCUUCUAUACUUGAAAGAUUAUAGAUAUGUCUCAACUAGUCAAGAGUGAACCUAAUAAAUCAUUAAUAUAUAAUUUCCAAUCCAAAUUUUAAGUGAGUUUUGAUUUUAAAAAGUGUCAACGAUUAUAAGCAAGGCCCUAAUUUGUCAUCUAUGCAUUUGCAUCCUAAAAAAUAGAAACCUAUGACUAGAAAAUAAAAUAAAAGAUAAAAAAAGAAAAAACUAUAUGUAUAUGUAAUGAUACAUAGAGCUACAACAAUGACAACAAAAUGAGAUAUGGAGAGGGGAAAGAGUCAGGAGUAGAGAUAUAGACAUAGGGGAGUGCAUCCCAUGUCAUUAGUAUGCUUAAUUAAUAUAAAUUUAACAAAUCAAUUUAUGAAUAGCAUCAUUGAACACUUUUUGUUAUGUAGGGAGACCCAUUUCAUUAUAUGAUGAAUUUUCAUUAGUCGGACGUACUAAUGACAUGACAUGUCCGGCUCACCUCAUAUCUCAUUAGGAGAAAGAGAGAGUAUCAAACUACAGUGGGAAGUGAGGAUGAGUCGGACGAUUUCGCGAGAUCUCUAUUUUCUGUCGGCCCCGAUCACCAGUGAAGAGUCGAAUGACAUCGCAAGCUGACACUUUUAGAUAGGGAUGUCACAACUUUAGUUUCUGAUCACAAAUCAUAUUCCCUCUAAAUAAUUGCAACUUGUAUACUAGAAAGAUUAUAGAAAUGUCUAAGUCUCAACUAGUCAAGAGUGAACCUAAUAAAUUAUUAAUAUAUAAUUUCCAAUCCAAAUUUGAAGUGAGUUUUGAUUUUAAUUACUGUAAUUGCUCCUAUUUCAUUUAAAGGCCUACCAAAUUCGUUCUACCAAGAACCCGUACGUACCAUGUCCAUAAGUAUCAUUUUUAGGUUGCGAUCCUUUCAUGUCCAUAGUAAGUGGUUUCACUCUCUCUUUAAGAAGACCAUGAAAAAGCCUGUUUUCAGCUAUCACCUCAUUUAAUCCCCAUCAACAGUCUGCACACACCUGGCUGACCCUACAUGCAUUAGUGCCACGUGUCAAUCUUAGUACCAAAUUCAAUAUGAGCCUAAAAGUACUUGAAACUAGAAAAAUUAAAGUUGUCUAUAGAUCACAGAAUUUAAAAUUAUUUAAAUCUUUGGAUAAAAAGCCUAAUUCCUUUUAAGGCCAUGCAAACAUCUUCAACAAAAAUUGAAAAAAAAAAAAAUUCUUUAGUCUUUCCAUGUUGCACUUCAAAAG